GAUCAACGCUGGCGGCGUGCCUAACACAUGCAAGUCGCACGAGAAAGGGACUUCGGUCCUGAGUAAAGUGGCGCACGGGUGAGUAACACGUGACUAAUCUACCUCCGAGUGGGGAAUAACUGAGGGAAACCUUAGCUAAUACCGCAUAACACUUACGAGUCAAAGCAGCAAUGCGCUUGGAGAGGAGGUCGCGGCAGAUUAGCUAGUUGGCGGGGUAAUGGCCCACCAAGGCGAUGAUCUGUAUCCGGCCUGAGAGGGCGCACGGACACACUGGAACUGAAACACGGUCCAGACUCCUACGGGAGGGCAGCAGUGGGGAAGUUUUGUCGCAAUGGGCGGAAAGCCUGACGCAGCGACGCCGCGUGAGGGAAGAA
RNAcentral lists this ribosomal RNA (374 nucleotides) under uncultured bacterium. RNAcentral's name for it is "bacterial SSU rRNA". It matches the Rfam family "Bacterial small subunit ribosomal RNA", at positions 28 to 412 of the family's 1533-position model. The record is from RNAcentral.